UACGGGGGGAGCAAGCGUUGUUCGGAUUUACUGGGCGUAAAGGGUUCGUAGGCGGUGUGGCAAGUCGGGAGUGAAAUCUCUGGGCUUAACUCAGAGGCUGCUUCCGAAACUGCCGUGCUAGAGUGCGGGAGAGGCGAGUGGAAUUGCAGGUGUAGCGGUGAAAUGCGUAGAUAUCUGCAGGAACACCCGUGGCGAAGGCGGCUCGCUGGACCGCAACUGACGCUGAGGAACGAAAGCUAGGGGAGCAAACAGG
This 253-nucleotide ribosomal RNA is filed under the name uncultured bacterium. RNAcentral describes it as "partial 16S ribosomal RNA". It matches the Rfam family "Bacterial small subunit ribosomal RNA", at positions 524 to 776 of the family's 1533-position model. The record is from RNAcentral.